RNAcentral lists this ribosomal RNA (465 nucleotides) under Vreelandella stevensii. Its description in RNAcentral is "partial 16S ribosomal RNA". It matches the Rfam family "Bacterial small subunit ribosomal RNA", at positions 338 to 795 of the family's 1533-position model. The record is from RNAcentral. Lineage: Bacteria; Pseudomonadati; Pseudomonadota; Gammaproteobacteria; Oceanospirillales; Halomonadaceae.
CCUACGGGGGGCAGCAGUGGGGAAUAUUGGACAAUGGGGGCAACCCUGAUCCAGCCAUGCCGCGUGUGUGAAGAAGGCCCUCGGGUUGUAAAGCACUUUCAGUGAGGAAGAACGCCUGGUGGUUAAUACCCAUCAGGAAAGACAUCACUCACAGAAGAAGCACCGGCUAACUCCGUGCCAGCAGCCGCGGUAAUACGGAGGGUGCGAGCGUUAAUCGGAAUUACUGGGCGUAAAGCGCGCGUAGGUGGCUUGAUAAGCCGGUUGUGAAAGCCCCGGGCUCAACCUGGGAACGGCAUCCGGAACUGUCAAGCUAGAGUGCAGGAGAGGAAGGUAGAAUUCCCGGUGUAGCGGUGAAAUGCGUAGAGAUCGGGAGGAAUACCAGUGGCGAAGGCGGCCUUCUGGACUGACACUGACACUGAGGUGCGAAAGCGUGGGUAGCAAACAGGAUUAGAUACCACAGUAGUC